GAUGAACGCUAGCUACAGGCUUAACACAUGCAAGUCGAGGGGAAACGACAUCGAAAGCUUGCUUUUGAUGGUCGUCGACCGGCGCACGGGUGAGUAACGCGUAUCCAACCUUCCCACAACUUUGGGAUAACCUUGCGAAAGUAAGACUAAUACCCAAUUAGAUCCCACGAAGUCAUUCGAACGGUAUCAAAGAUUUAUCGGUGAUGGAUGGGGAUGCGUCUGAUUAGCUUGUUGGCGGGGUGACGGCCCACCAAGGCACCGAUCAGUAGGGGUUCUGAGAGGAAGGUCCCCCACAUUGGAACUGAGACACGGUCCAAACUCCUACGGGAGGCAGCAGUGAGGAAUAUUGGUCAAUGGGCGAGAGCCUGAACCAGCCAAGUAGCGUGCAGGAUGACGGCCCUAUGGGUUGUAAACUGCUUUUAUAAGGGAAUAAAGUGGGUCACGUGUGACUUUUUGCAUGUACCUUAUGAAUAAGGACCGGCUAAUUCCGUG
RNAcentral lists this ribosomal RNA (492 nucleotides) under uncultured bacterium. RNAcentral describes it as "partial 16S ribosomal RNA". It matches the Rfam family "Bacterial small subunit ribosomal RNA", at positions 28 to 507 of the family's 1533-position model. The record is from RNAcentral.